GGCGUACAUAGGCCUGGGAUGGGGAAGAAGGGAAAGAAGGGCCCCCAACUUCCUUUUUCAGAAUUGCUACUGCAUCUCACCCCAUUAAUUCAGUGCCUGACACUGUCCCCCAGAAGGGAGGGGCAGCAGGAAGGUCCUGUGUGUGUGUGUGUGUGCGCGCGUGUGCGUGUGUGUGUGCAUGUGCGUGUGCGUGUCUUUCUUCUUCUAGGGAAGGCCUGCCCUGGGAAGCAGCCCCUACAGCUAGGCCAGCUGCAGGCCAGGCUGAGAGCUCCCUCCCUGUCCCUACCCUCAAGUAUUUAUAGAAGUUAUUUUGGGAAUUUUCUUUCUGAGCUCAAGGCACAUUCCUGGGAUUCUGUAACAGCCUUUCCAGCUGGGAAGCAGGGAAGUAGCUAGAGGUGCUAGAGCCUCCUGGUCCCAGGAGCCCUCUUCAAGGGGACCCUAGGGCUGCAGGGAGGAGCCUGGGGUGGGGUCACCUCUGAGGCUGCUCCCUCCACCCACCCUGAGGCUGACACACCCUGUGGUGUGUGUGGGGGGAGGGGGUCGGCCCACAUUCCAGCUCCAGCUCAGCCACCCCACCCCCCCACCUCCCAGCAGGCCCCAGGUCCUCCCAGGUGUGUCAGCCUCAACCUGUCCAACCAGACUGGGAAUGAGCUGUCUCUCCAGGCUGAGAACAGAGCCCACAUAUCACCACAUCCCUCCUGGACCUGGGGCAGCUCCAAGGCCCCAGGGGCUGGUCCUCCCUCCCCUUUAGGAGAAGGGGCACAAAUCCUUCUAGACUCCACCCAGCACCUGAUUGACAAGCUCCACCGAUUCACUUGGAGCCCAGCAAGGUGGGGGUCUUUGGGAGUAGCAGAGGUGGCCAUGCUCCUGUGGCAGAACCCAGGCCUGCCUUCCUCCUCCUGUCCCUCACCCUCACAGAGGUGAGAUGUCCAGGAACACCAGUGGGCCUCUAGGCUCAGCCUCUCGGUGGGUCUCUCGGUGGGGGUUGUCUUCACAAGGCCAGGGCCAGGCUCAGAGAUAAACACUGGCUUGAUGAGAAGGCCUAUCACGUCCUGGGGGGUUCCCUUGCCAGCCCUGUCCCUAGGCAGGGGGCUGGGCCUUUCCUCCUCCCACAUUCUGGGCUGGUUUCAGGUUCUGGGCCGGCUGGAGGCUCUGCCUACCCAGGAGCACAGCUAGGCCCUCAGGGCUAGGUCAGGAGCCUGGACUUCAUGUUCUCAAAGUGAAUACCCUGUGGUGGGCAGUGAGUGGGGUGGUGCCAUUUCAGAAGCUCCCCUCUCUGGGCAGGAGGGGUGGGUGCUGGCAUACUGGACAAGGGGAAGGCUGGACCCUGCUGCACCCUCCAGACACGAUGAGUCUUUCAGACCAUCGAUUCUGGAGCGAAAUUAAGCCGACAGUGCUUAACUAUUGUUCUGACCUGAGUCUAUGACAGCCUGACAGAAGGCAUCCCUUCCACUUCCUCGUCAGGGUUGGUGAGGACUUCAGGAGACCACAGUGAAGCCCAAGAUUUUCUAAAAGUCCUGAGCCAGAGCCAGGGGAACCUGCCUUCACCCUCUCGCAGGUCUCUGAACCAGGGCUGAGGGUGCGUCGUGUGGUCUGGGGGCUGUGUCAGCCCAGGAAUGAGGUGGGUGGACACGGGCCUGAACCCCAGUGAGGCCUAUGCUGGCCUUGCCCUCCCACCUCCCCACACAGUGAGCCUUUGGAACUCCCUUCUCCCUCCCCAUCCACUCUACUUCCCCACCAGGGAAUGCAGACCUCAGGUAGUACUGGGAAGGGACGAGGGAGAGAAAACUCGCAAUAAAACCACAGCAGGAGGAGGUCAAAUGGCCAACAAGACGUUCCUGCUGAACUUUCCUGCCAAACAGAGCAAUGUUCCUGUCUACCGGAGCUGGUAGGGCAGAAGCUGACUGUGAAGAGGGCCUGUAUGUGUGUGAGAGAACUCAGGGUCUCUGCACACCCAGCACAAGACUUCCGGGCCUUCCGGUUCCUUCAGGCUGCCUGCAUUCUCAAAGCCACCUGCCACAGCUCAGGAAGCCAACAAGGAGGGAGAAGCCUAGAGCAGGUGGGGUGUCCUGGACCCUGAGGCAUCAGGCCCCAGGAACCAGAAAACCUGCUCAUCUGUGUGUUUGCCAGCCUCAUUCAGAGCAGGGAACCUUCAGAGGGCCAGGCACUGGGUUUCACUUUUCAGCUGCUCAGGACACCUUUCCUCCUGAAAGUCAGGAAGCAGAGGCUGAACCUGCCUGACCACAACAGAGCCCAUAGUGGAAAGCCAAGCAGGGCCUCCCUAGAACCUGGCCUUCCCUGCUGCUCCUCCCAGCAGCCUCACAUCAUGCCCGUUUAGCUGAAGAGCCCAGCUGUGAAACUGUUCUCACCCUCAACUCAGACUCCUGCCUACUGAGCAGGCAUUCCCUGCUCUCGGCUAAGGUCAGCGUGGCCUUGCACUGUGUAUACCCUUGUCCCAGGCACAGGGCACUUGGGGCCCGGGUCCUGCACAUCUCUGCCUUGGCCAGACUCGCCUGAUGGGCUCAGGAAGGACAGAGAGGCUCUGCUACAAAGAAUCUCUGGAACUUGGCUCUUGGCUCUACUUCCCUCUGCAAACAAAGAGCAUCUGAACUUGGCCUGGGAGCUGUGCUUCACAGUGAAAAAGGGGCAUCUGGAGACAGAAGAGGCUGGAUCACCUGGCCAGGACUGCUUCAGAAAUUACAUCCCCAGGAAUUACAUCACAGGAGCCAAAGUUCAUUUAGGGCAGUUUCCCCCCUUGCUGCUGGGGUGCCCAAGGAGGAAAGCGUUCUGGGGAGACGGGGCAAUGAGAGCCUGGAACUCUGGCCUAAGAAGAAAGCAUGACCACGGGCAAGAGCCAGUGAGGAGCAGGGAAGCCUGGCCAGAGAGGCACGAGGAAACCCCAGAGCCUGUCCUUGGGACAGCAGGGUGGGGGCCGCCCACAGACACAGGUGCAGGGAUGCAGCAUGCCUGUCCACUCCUGGCCGACGCUCUUGAGCUGUCUCUUGCAGUGAGACAGGCUGCAUCAAAGCAUCCACACUCCUGGCUCAAGCAAGGGGUGGGCAAGGAGAAUGAGUCAGCCUGUGGCUGAGGCUAGUGACCUCCCACCAUUAAAGUCAGGGGACCUCAUGGUCCUCCUUGGAGGGCUCUCAGUGACUUGACCAUUCCAUUAGUCCCUCCUGGGUUCCUUGCCUUCCCCAAGCAUCCUUGUUCCCUCGCAGAUGCAGAAGGACUCCUGAGAGGUGGCAGGGCAGAGAGAGGCUCAGAGAGAGAGAGGGGUGUAGGCACCUCGGAUUCCUCUCCACCAAGCCCAUGGAGCCCUUCUGAAAAACACUGUCACCUGGGGGCCAACUCCUCUGCUUCCUUUCUCAUGUUUCCUCAGAGCAGGCAAGUCGAGUUCAGGCUUCCCCUCCGUAAUGAGAUUCUUCUGCCUGUAAGUUAAGUGCUGAACGCCCAGGCUGAGUGAGUAGGGUUUCUGGCUACCUGGUGGGGAGGCUGAGACCUAGCUGGCAAAGACUGUUAGGAUCUGCUCCUGAGAUUUCACUGGGAAUUUCCAUCUGCAGAGAGCAUGGCAUUUUCUUUCUGCACCUGGAAGUCUCCUGAAGCAACCUGGCCCUCCGUGAGCCUAGUGGAGGUGGCUGCCUGCAGGGCUGGGGUUUGACGGCACAGACACUUCUGGGGCACUGCUGAGGCACAGUGGAGACUCUUCCCUGGCAAAGCACUGCUAAGCUGGUGUCUCUUUCCUGCCUGUUGGGUAGAAAAGCCUGAGCUGAGCCCAGGGUGGAGCCUGAAGCAUGGAAAUGCCUCCCAUCACAUCCAGGGCAGGGAGGGUGGCAGGACCUGGAGAAUAGAGAACCUGCUUCGUGGCCAAAGUUCAUUUUCUUAGAAAUGCCAGGACCCUGCCUCCUAAAAGCAAUCACCUUCCACUCCCAGAAGCUUUCUCUGGCCUGUCCUCAAAGUUCCUGUCCCCAUGCACACAGCCCUAGGGAGAGGCCCUGAGGCUGGCCCCCCUGGUGUUUGAUGAUCCUGCCCUAAGGACUGUAAGGCUGAAGCUGGCACCCACACAGCUCACCAAGGGACCCAGAGCUCUCCUGGCCCAGCCUGUGGGCGGCUGUGCUCUCAGGGGAGGGGUGCCUCUCCUCUCCUUGCACCUAUCAGAGGCUGAUGUUCUCAGAGAACCACUGUGGUGUGGCAAGGCCAGGAUGCACUCCUUGGGAACCUGCCUUGGCAAUGACUGACUGCAUGGGGGUCUGGAUGGGUAUCAGUUCCCCUUCACAUUUUUUUCUCUGGAUAGUUCUCCAAGAAUGCACCCACCUCCAGAGUUCAUGAAGGCUGAGACAACUGAUGUGUCUCCGUCACUCUCUAUUAUUUUUAUGGCAAAUCCCUUACAUAAAUGCCAGGUUGACUUAGACCAACAGGUAGUGGUUCCCCUGAUGUUGCACCAUGGUAAAGAACAUCUAAAGGUCACGUGUGUGCUCGUUGAGAAAAAGUUCUGUGAUUGAUUAGCAAUGUCUGUCACGGGUAUGGGACUGGAGACUAGAGGUUUAUACGUUGUUCUGCCUUCUCUGAUGUUGCACUGAAGACUUUUAGGAGCACUUUCACAUGUGCCACCUCAUUUGAUUAGAAGUGACCUAGAAUGAUGUAGAUUAUUAUCCACUUACAAAGGGAGACAUCAGGAACAUGGAAGUUAAGUGUGUCUUUUCCUAAAUCACCCAAGUGAAUUGGGGCCAGAGCCAGGAUUAGAUCCUAGAUGUCCUGAGUUUGAAGCCAGCACAGGGAAGGCACUCACAUCAGGGAAUGCUGGUGAUCAACAUACCAAAGUGUUCCUUCCUGUGUCUUUGGGAAAAGAGUGCUUAAUAAAUCUCCAGGCUUGCAAUUUGCUAUUCUUCAUGCAUAUGUGUGGGAUGCUGGCAGGAACAGAGCAUGUGGAAAGCAAAUGGGCUGCCCACGCCAGAGCCGACUGCCCCUCUGGUUGCUUGUAACUUUCAACAGUGGGCAGGCCUGGCCCUGACUUGCUCUAAUUUCAUCAAAUCAGCAAGGCACCCCAGGAAGAGAAAAGGGACCAUUUCAGAAACAUCUGCAGGGAGCCACUCUGGACAGCUAUUCAGUUACCAUGGAAACCCACCCUAGGAAACUGCUUCAAUUUCAGGAAAAUCGCUACAAACAAUAAUAAGCAUAAAUGAAAAAUGGUACACUGUUACUUCAAAAUUGUACUUGUUAUUGGGUUUUAGGGACUGAGCCGGCAGGCACAUAUCCGUGAGCGCAGUGGAAGGCAGACAUCUCUGCCUGGCUGCAGGCCUGAUGACAGAGCCCACAUCCUCCCUCCCACCUCCCUCAUCAAGUGUCUGGAUGUGACCUCCGGGGAGGCAUUUGUCAGAGGAACUCAUGUCUGAAUUGCGGGAGGAAGGAGGACGUGCCUUGCAAAAAACAAACAUUUGCUGAGCAGACUGCAAGGCAACACAGAGCCAUGUGGAGGGGAACAUGGGCCAGGUGUGAUGUCACUGCGUGGGCUUUCUUCAGCUAACGCUGAACAUUCACAUGGGUCCAAAGUAGAUAUCCUUUAAGAAAUCGGGCAGCAGGAGUAAUAGCUGAGCUGGGAGUCUCUACUGUAAUCUGUUUUCAGGGACUCUUGGGCUGGAAAGGACCUUGUAAAGAUGACUUGGCCCAGCUCCUCCCCCAAGUGGUGUUUCCAUUCUGUUGGCAGUGUCUUCAGCAGACGGUUCCUGAGUUUGUACUUGGACUAUUCUAAGAGCUGUACGGUUUUUCCUGACACUGAGCGGAAAUCGAACUCCCUGUGGCUUCUCGUGAACGAAUCAGACCCCUUUUGGCAAUGAUAACCCUCCAGCCAUCUGGAGUCAGUCUGAUCCCUCUGUGUUCUCCAUGUGGCAGGUGUCAGUGACGCCCUCAUGGUUGCUCCCCUUAAAGAACUGUCAAAGGGGGACAUCUGAGGUGGAACCUGGACCCUGACAGGGGAAGACCAUGUAGCUAAUGGUAUGCUCAUGAAUUAUACUUCAAAAAUCACUGUGCAUGUGCAGGCCUGUAUACAUUCAGAUCAUUACAUUUAUCCUGAUACUGGCUCUCUAAAAGCAGCUAAGGAAGGAAGGGAAAAAAACAGCUAUCCCUAGUCUACUACACCAACUGUCGGAGCAGGUAUUCAGUAAAUGUUUCCUGCACCAGAGAAUCCCCACUGCACAGAUAAGUAAAACCGAGGUUCAGAGAAGCCCACGAUCACCCAGAAAGAGAAUGGCAAGGCCAGGCCAAGAACACCACCAUCCUGCUCUCUGCCUCCAAACCUUCCCAUGGAAAGUCACCGAGCCCUGGGCACCCACGUCCUGAGCGCCAUGUUGCUGGACUGGGGGCCGCUGGGCCCUCUUACCACCCCAGGGGCCAUUUUCCAUGUGUGCUUGAGUCAGGGCUGACGUGACAGCCCAUCUCAGGACAUCCUCUAAAUGACACCAAAGAGGCACAGAGCUCCUCCUAAAUGGGAGAGGCAGCCUGGUGAUCACGGAGGCACUGGGGACUCCCAGAAAGCAGAGCGUUUUGUCUAGUGUGUCCAGGGCAAGGGUCUGAUGAGGAAUAGUGAAAGCCCUUUGGGGCUACACUGCUUUACCGAAACUUACAGCAAAAAGGAAGUCACAAGGAAUAUCAACCAAACCUACAUUUUUUCAUCAACUCAGCCAGGCUCUGAUUGAAGGGGAAUGGCCCUGCCUCCGUAAGACACUUGUGUCUCCCAACAGAGCAGGGAGGAAGCCACCUCUCCCCAAGCACCAGGGAACAGGGGCGGCAGGGCACCUGCAGACAGUGGAGAGGGUGAGAGGGCAGAAGGGCCCUGAUGCCUUUCUCGGGGGCCGGGGGGCUGACUCACCAGGCUGUGCAUGAUGCGCACACCGUCGGGGUUCACCGUGAGUGCCUCCUUGUACAGCUGCUUGGCCUCCUCCAAGCUGCCCUUCAUCUCGGCUAGCCGGCCCCGCAUGUAGAGUACCGAGUGUGAGGUGGGAAAGAGGCCCGCUGCCUCCUGGAUGCAGAAACCCGCUUCCUUGAGGUGUCGCUGCUCCAUGAACAGCUCAGCUGUGAAACCAGAAGGACAGUGGGAGGUGACAGCGGUAGGAAAAGCCAGAGGCAGAGGACCCCUCCCUGCAUCCGACUGGCAGCCCCCAGAGUGGAGGGUCUCAGGUGGUGGAAGCCAUCCCUCGAGUCACAGCAUGGGCGGGGCUGGCUCUGGGCCGUGGGGGCAAUAGCAGAGAAUGGUUUCCGAGCGCUCACUCGGUGUCAGGCACCGCGCUACAUGUUCCACACGGACCGUCUCCACUGACGCGCAUAGCAGCUUGUAGAACAAGCACUUUUAUUACCCUGCUUCAGAGAGGAGGAAACUGGGGCACAGAGAGGGUAGGGAAGUGACCUUAAGACCACAGGGAGAGUCAGCUGUGGACCUAGGGUUUGCAUCAGGUUGUCUUGACCUCCAAGCUUGGCAGUGGGGGCACGGGUGGCGUCUGUAAAGGUCAGUCAGGUGGCUUUCUGCAGCGUCCCUCACUUCACCUGGUGACCUUGAGUCUCAGGGUGGGGGAUGGAAGCUGAUCAGGAGGAUGCAGGUGUGUGCUACCACAAGGCCCACAUUCCUUGAGACUGUGGGCCAAGGCCUGCUUCUGCAAAGUGUCUACUCUCAUCUGACCCUCCUAGGAGGUGCUCUCAUGAGCCCUGUGCUAACAAACCAGGCUGAGGGAGGCAGGGCGUCACUCUAGUCCCUCAGUGGAAAGGGGUGAGGCAGAGCUGGGCUCCUAGCAGCUCCGGCCUCUCUCCAAAGCCCAGGGCUUUCUGCCACACUGAGAGAAUAGGUAAUGCACGUGCCUUUUACCAACAAGCAGGAAAGAUCUGUCCCACAACCAGUUUGCCCUCUUCCCUGCAGAUCUGUGGAAAAUGGGGCCAUCUCUCCGAUCUCAGGCCAGCCCACAUAAAGGCACAUUUCAGAUCCACGCUGCACAGGUACACACCCACAACAGGCACUUUUAGAAACAGGCCGGCUGGGCUUGCAGCACGGCCUCGUGGCCCACUCAGCCUUCCUCUCCGGCAGCCCUGGGCUCAGCUGCCCCUCCCGGGGCUGGUGCCUGCACACAGAUGGGAGCACAGAAGGGCACGCAGAGCCUGGCUUGUGGCUCUGCCAGGAGCUGUUCCUAGCACAGGCCAAGGGCUGAGGUUACACUAAUUCAGGUUACACUAAUUCAGGUCUGGGGCGGGUAGAUAACAGACAUCCCCAAAGAAGCUCCCAGAACAAGGUGGAAAACCUGGGCCCAGGCAUCAUCUUCCUGUUUCAACAAGAAGCAGGAAGGAAGCCUAAGGCCUCAACUGCAGCACACAGCAUUUGGGGGUACUCAGCGUGAAUGUUGCCUAAGGUUCAUUGUGUAAUCAAAGUAGCUUGCCACAUCCUACAAUACUACAGAGGCCUUUUUGAGCAAGGGUACUCUUUUUGUCUCUAGUGGAGAUGAGAAUUUGGAAGAAUUAAGUAAACACAGAGGAGCCAGGCCCCCAUGAUAAGGCUAAAGAGAAACGCAGGCUCUUGUCCCUGUAGACAACCUGAACUGCAGAGUCCCAAGGCAGAAAGUGCAGGAAGGUGAGGCCAGGAAGGGCAGCCUUAGAGCCCAGGGCCUUGCAGGGAGGGGUUUGUCUAACUCUGCCUAAGCUCUCCUCUGCUGUGCUGUCACGUUCUCUUCUGGAGCUGCUGCCUGGGGCUCUGAGCAGGGUGCCUUCAUAACUGAGGGCCCAGUGUGCAACUACGAUGUGCUGACCAUGUGCCUGGCCCACCCACAUGAGAAGGAUAAAGAGGGGAGGUGGGGCAGCGGAGCGACCAAACUGCUGGAGGGAGCCAGGGCAAUGGAGCACCAAGUGCCAAUUCUGAAAACUCCGGGCUCUCCGAAGGGGUCAGGUCAGCUGUGCUGGUGUGGCCAGGGAAGUCUUCCUGGGGGGAGGCAACACUGGAGCGGGGGCCUGAAAGUGCAGGGGUGCUUAGACAGGCAGACAGAAGGGAGGUUGUGCAGACCUGGAGGGCUGGGCUCCACUGUGACCUGCCCGAACUCCCCAGGGUCACUGGAGGAGAGGGGGAGAAGCAGAAGGAAGCGUAUGGUGUGAGUGCCGGAGGCGGGGAGGCCUGUCCUGCACCAGCCCCUGUAGCUGCUUCCUCUAUCUACCACUAGGAGCUCAGGUCAGAGGCUAGGCUCUCCACUCCCAUAGACCUUGCCCAGCAGGCCCAGCCCACCUGCCUGCCUGCCUGGUCCUGGCAUGGCUCAUUAAGCUGUUUACAACUUGCUGUCCUGUCUCCUGAGUCCCUGUCUCUGGAGGCUGCUCCUGGGGUCUCCCUUGGCGACUCCUCACAGUGCCUUCGUAUCAACAGAUUUCAAUUACAGGGAUCCCCACCUCCUUCUUUCCUUGUGGCCCUAGCCCUUGUCGGGCUGGCCAUACAGCAGAGAACAUGCCCUGAAAAAUAGGUAGGGCUGCUUUGGUCCGAUGGACUUCAUUACCAGUUAGGCAGGAAACCAGAUGACACAGAACAGAGCCAGAGAAGUAAGGUCUCCUGAGGGCUCCUGGCUGCCUUGCAGACAGUCCCUGGCAUGCUCAGACUCCAGGGCGGGGCCUCUGACCUGCAGACAGGCCCACAGGUCUGGGGGCUGCAGUGCACCCCUUCUUCCUAGCCUCAGCGUCCCUGGGCAACUGUUUUACCAAACAUGGUGCUCCCCAGACAGUUAGCCAGCCUAUGCUCUGGCUAUAGCGUGGCACCACACCCGCCCACUGCCCUGAUUUCUUGACCUCCUGGCCUUGACUGCUAGGGCCCCAAGGUGCCCACCCAUCUGGGCCUCCCCCCGCCAGGGCUGGAGGAACACUCCCUGUUACUGGACUUUCCUUGAAUUCUCACGGUCCAGUUCACCACCCCAGCAAACAGACCUAGCUGUCCCCAGUGUCGAGGGCCCCUCUCCUAUCCCCUCAGCUCAUUUUCUCUCCCUCCCGAUUUCCCUACUCCUCUCAUCUCCUCUCUGCCUGCUCUUGACCUCUCCUCCUACCUCUCUGUCUCAGCUUUUCUCCCUCUUCUGUCCAUCUCUCUCUACCAGCCCCCACUCUGUGCUUCUCCCGGCAGGCUCCAAAUGGAAAACAUCUGUUCCCUGGAGCUUUGCAACAGUCCCUUUUAUUGUUUUUUUUUUUUUUUCUGAGGCAUCCUGAUCUAACCCUGCACCCUGAGCUGGUUCCAGUCUUUCGGCCAAAGCAAAGCUCCACCCCACCCCCAGGUUGGGGGAUGAACUCACUUUUCACCGGCUAUUUGCACACCCUCUUUGCAAGGAGGGCCUUGCCCUUGGACUAGUUCUAAGCUGAGCAGCAGGGGGAGGGAGGGCCCAGGGUCACGUCUAAGGCCUUUCAGGAGCCUCCCCAUGUGAGAGUGCACUUGGCACUCAGGCUAAAGGCAGAGGCCCCUCAGGGAAAAGCUUAGGAGAGAAGUUAAGGUUAGGCCCUUAGCUAGCCUUGAACCCCAGAAGGGAUCACCAAAACUAUCCCCCUAAAGGAAACAGGUGUCCUCCUCAUGGAGCAGACCAUCAGGACAUAUGGACACCCAGAAUAAAGGUGACAGAAGGGAGGCGGACAAGGAAGGAAAGAGAGAGACAACCAUGGAACCGAAGGAAUAACACUGAGAAUCCGAAGGUCUGAAGGCAUUUUGCAGCACACUGUUAGCUCCCAGAGACAUGAGCUUCAGUGAAAGAGGGAGGUGGGCCAUCUUGCUCUUCUGGAAGGCACCUCUCGACACACAGGAUCCUGGAGCAUCUGUUAGUCCUGGUGCCUCUCCCAUCAUCACACAGACCCUCUGCUAAAGAGGCAACAUUCCUGGAACGGAUCUCUCAAGUGGAAGCCCUCCGUGAUGCUUCUCACAUCUGACUGGGAUGGGCGGAGGCUUGAAGAGGCUUGAAGAAGGGCAGCCCUUCAUUCACUUCCAAAUGGAGCCAGGAAGAAGCAACCGGCUCAGGGCUGUGAUUCAGGAGACCCAGGUUCAAGCCCCAGCACUACCAUUUACCAGGUGAGUGACUGGCAAAUUCUCUAAGGUUCCUGAGUCUAAGUUUCCCUCCAGGGGUGAGAAUAAAAUCUGACAGUGUAUAAUAUGUAAGUAGCAAUCCCAGAACCUGGCCCAGAUGCUCAAUAAUAACUUCAUUCUUACCCCUCGGAACUUCAGUUUCCUAAACAGGUUCUUUGUGUCCUCACAGAGGAUUGUCAAAAGGUUAAAAUUAGCCUACGGAUGUAAAAGGCCCCAGGAGCAGUAAGUAGCACACUCUGAUUCAAAUAUCGUCACCACCCCCAGGCAUCAUGACCACUCAGCUGUGGGCUGUUGCCCUGGCAACCACCCCCUGUCAGUACUGCCCUCCACCCCCUGGGCGACCCCAAGGAUGAUGAUGGCCACUCACCCCAGCUGGGAGAAGCUGUACAGGGUCUGCCACAGCCGCAGCAUUUGUCUGCAGGUCACAAGGGCUUCCUCCGGGCCUUUCAGGACUUGCUCCAGCUUCACCUUGGUGAACAUCAGGCUGCAGGGAAGGACAGGAACAGUUAGCACGUCCCUGAGAGGGCCCCCUUUCCCUUGGUCUUCCUCCCAGGCUGGGAACCCAAGGGAUUCUGCCCCACCGUGCUGCCCGCUCCUCUCAUCCACUUGGCCCCUGAUCAGAUACUCUCCUGCCCCACUCUCUGAAGCACUGUUAGGUGUGUCUGCUAGUCUUGCUUUGUUUGUUCCUCUUACCCACAUCCACGGUAUGCACCAUCCUCAGUGACCAUGUGGCCAUUUUUAUAUUCACACACCCCACAGGCCCCCAGUGAACCUUGUAUAUGAGAGACCCAGAAAGCAAUUGCUCAUCCAGGAAUGGAGCUAAGCAAGGAACUGAAAAAGAAAGGUUACCUAAAGGGCAGAGUUGUGCUUUAGACCUUGCCAGCGCACAAUAAAUGCUCAAUUAACAUCUCCUAAACUGAACUGCAAACUGUUUCCUGACCCUGGAUACAUGAGGAGUGUCAUCAGUCAUGUGUUACUUUACCAAAGAAUUCUUCACUGGAUUUCCUAAAACAGCCAGCUCCCCUUAUAUGUGCAAUAGGAUUCAAGUGACACCAAGUCCUAUUCAGUCGCCAUUUAGGAACACAGUUGCUCUGCAAAGGGAGGCAGCAACUUCAGAAUCUCUUUCAACCUGAAAACUGGGCGUCCUCUGAGGUCAGGAUGCUGCUGGAUGUGGGGAUGUGGCCCUGAAGGGGGCUGGGAGGAGAGGGGAAGGGCUGCUCCCACCAGAAGGUGGGACCACAGGAGGGGCCGACAGCUCCCUUCCUCUGUCCUGGACAUAGCAGAGACCGUUAGAACACUGCUCACCAUAACUGGGGUGGGGGUGGGGGGCUGGGAGACCUGCUGUGCCAGGUGUUGACCUUUCAGUUGUCAGGGAGUAUUGGGGUCCCAGGGGAGGGUCAAGGCAGCCGGGGACACUAAGGACAUUCAAGGCAGUGGCGAUUCACUAAUGGCUGUGGAAGUACUGCAUUCUUUAUACUGUGGGUACUGCCAGCCACACUGAUGCACACCAGCUGCCUGGGCAGCAUGUGAACUUGGCUGAGCCACUGAGACCCAAACAAGGCUGUGGCUCUGGUUCUCACUGGGCGGUGAGCGUGAGGCCCUGUUAAUCCUGGCAUCGCUGUUGGGACAAACCCACAUGACUGUCAGGCCCUGUACUUGAUCGCUGCCCGGUUAGUUCUGCUGGACCAUCUGAGGUUGGCACACGGGCCCUCAUAGAAGUGGAGUCCUGCAUCUAGACAGGGUGCAUCCUGUGAUCUGAGGCUGGAGGCACCGUACAGGGAGGCCAGCCUCCACCUGGGAGCUUUCCCCUCUGACCUUUUCGCGCACUUGGAGCCCUGGCCUGAGACCUUGUGCUGAGACCUGGGCCUCCAGCCUGAUGAAGGACGUUGAUGGCCUCACUCUGCUCCUUGCUUCUCACACCUUGUUUUUCUUAGAUUGUGACUUGCUGCUACAGAAUGAAGAUCAGAGUGGAAUUUGCCCCAGUUCUCUUUCCAGAGGAGGAGGUUUGAAUUCUGGCCAAUUAUUAUUUUUCCUCCUCACCUUUCCUCAAAAACGCAUGUGCAUUUUCUGCCUCUGCUCACAGGACCCUGGCACCCCCACCCUCCCCUGGCCUCGUCUCUCCAUGUUCAUCCUCUUUCAAGCUUGACCUUAUAUCCCACCUUCUCCAGGGAGACUUCUCAGACCCUUAGGAUGCCUUGUGCCCUUAGAACAUCUACUAGUGAAUUGCCUGGCUGGCUUACAGGGAGGCCUAGGGAGGCCAGAAACUGGGGUCCCCACAGUUUAGACUGCACAGGCCUGGGCAGGAGCAUGGUCUCUGCAUCUUGGUGGGCAGCUGCUGGGGAAAACUGGAUCUGCCAUCCCUACUCUUCCUUCCUGGAUUCUAGAAGGGUCCAACACUCCACAAGUAUUAGGAACCUCUGCUUCAGGAAUAUGGAGUAGAAAACAUGAUUUCUGCCUUCAAGAUAACAAUUAGUGCUAAAAAUGACAAAUUGCCCAGCUAAUCAGGUGCUGAUUAUCAAGUGAUGAUCAACUGGAUCAGACUCAGUGCAAUGAAGGAAGAGAUAAGGGAUCUUGCUGGGGCUGGUGUUUGAUGAAAAGGAGGGUGGCUCAGUCAGUUUCAGCUCAGGUCAUGAUCUCACGGUUUGUGGGAUUGAGACCCAAGGGCUCUAUGCUGUUGGGCACUGUGCUGACAGCGUGGAUCCUGCUUGGGAUUCUCUCUGCCCCUCCCCCGCUUGUGCGCACAUGCUCUCUCACUAUCAGAAAUAAAUAAAACCUAAAAGGAUUAAAAAAAAAAAAAGGAUGGUGGGAAGGCACAUGGUUGGGAGUUGGGGGAGAGGUAAAGCAUUGGGAAGGGGGGAACCAGUGGCUGGAGGUGUUGAUGAGGCGUGAAGACCCCUUCCUGCCGGUGUGGGGAACAUCCAGGCUCAAGUCCAUUCUAAGGCUGCCCUCCCCGCCCCCCUUCAGACAACCAGAGCAGCAGAGUCCCCUGGGCAAGGCCACUUAGGGUGGGGCUAGGCUGGUUCCUGGGACAGCUCCCUGGGCGGACCAGCCCCGAAGCAUUGCCCUGGUACCCCAUCUCCCCAGACAUGCCUCCUCUUCAGCUCCUCUCUGCCAGGCCCAGACCCCCUCCUGUUCCCUGCAUCCCUGAGAGCCAGGAUGAGUGGCAGACCUGACCACACCAUGUGCCUAGAACAGAAGUGGCUAAAAGCUGAGCUGGCAUAGUGUCUUCUACCAACACAAGCUGUUAUCCUCACGGCUGCUGACAUUCCAUUAGUGUGAGUGACCCAGAACGGAAUUUCUCAACCAAACCACAUCCUUUCUGGGCUGGGGCAAGCGCUCCAAUAGUCACCCUCUGGUCAGAUCCUUCACUCCCGGAUCCUGGGAGGCUCCAGAUUAGCUCCUGAGAUCUCCUUAGUAUCACAGUUCAGCAGUGCCAAGAGGGAAUUUCCUCAACAAAGAACCCUGCCCUGACUGUCCAUGACAUCAAUUCAAGUGCCUUUGUGCAGCCACCUUCCAUUCCUGCCUCUCCUCCCAUGCCCUUGGGCACCCGCGUGCUGCUCAUAUGGGUAUUAGCAACCUGAACUGGAGGACAGGCUCCUGGACUCAUCUGUGUCCUGCUUCAUGUCAUCGCUCUUGCUAGGACUUCCCCUUUCCCUCCAACAUCCGGCCAACUCCCAACCAGAUGUCACCCUCUGACCUUCUGUGUGUCCCUGUGGGGGUUGUACACAUACCCCUUCUGGAGAGCCUUCACUAUGUUGGACUUGGUUAUCUGCACACCUGCUGGCAUGCCUCCAAUUCACUGCUGGACUCUCUCCCCUGCCCUCCCCCACUCCCUGUCACAGCACAGGGCUCCUCUCCGUCCCCUUGGCCAGGAUGGGUGGCCCAGUUCUUUGCACAACAGGACAAGAAGGCUGGCAGAGCACUGGUGUGCCACUGUGGCUGGUGGGCAACACUUUCCAGCCCACACAAGAGGCCAGAGCCUCAUCAGAACCUGGUGCUUCCUGGGCACCCCACCCCUUCAGCCCAGCCCCUGGCAUGCCUGCUUUAUACACCAAAAUGAAUCUAAAACGUCAUUUGAAGAAAGGAUUCUGAGACUUGAAAAAAGCCCACUAUUUUAAUUCGGUGGUUCUAGUCCUCCUCCAGCGUGACCACCCUUGCUCUUCUCUGAAUAUUCAGUAGUUUUUACUUAGCACUUACACAGUAUAGACUUAUAUCUCUAGAUAUUAUCUAUCUAUGUAUGUGUUUUCAUAUAUUUAUCUUUUUGCCACAUAGGCUUAUGAGUUUAAUAACACAGAUAAAUUUAUAUCAAGCAUUUUUAAAUUCAAAUAAUCUGGACACAGUGUGUGUCUGGUCCCGCCUACAGAUGGUAAAACUACUAUUUAUGUUGUCCUGUGUUCCGCCACGUGUCUCCACCUGGAUGGCAGGUACUUGCAGGCCAGGGCCCUGCUUCCCACAUCAGGGUCCUCCUCGCCUCUCCAGUGCCCGGCACAGAGCCGAGCGCAUGGUGUCUGCUUAGUUUGUGAAAAUGUGUGUUGUUACAACCAUCUGGCCACACUCAGGGGUCUCACAGUCCAUGUUAAAUCAGAGCUGAUUUCUACCACCCCCACUUCCCACUGCUGGGUCUUGGUUAGGAGGUAGGAGAGGAAAUCUGUUCACUUGGUGCCUCAUAACCGCAGAGUGGGCUGGACUCAUGUAGCCAACGAGCAACGUGCCGGCCGAGUCUGUUUUAAGCUGUCUGGAAGCAAAGUUUUACAGAGCUUGGGAAGCAGCAGGGGGUUCUGGGUAGGACAUGAAGAUGUCUGACUCCUUGUGAUUCAGGGUCUUCAUCCUGGAAGACAGUCACCCAGGCAGAGCCAGAAGUACAACCAAGGGAUGUCUCUGAGACAGGAAGGCCCAGAACAUGGGCACCUAGCAGCCCUCUCACACCCUGACGGAAGCCACUGUGGGAGAGGAAUGGCCACGCUGCUGUUCUCAGACCCUGCACUGUGAUGUCGCUCAGAGUGGACAGACACUGGCCUAGGAGUGAGAAACCUGAGCCAAAGCCCCAGCUCUGUGGUCACCCAGCAGGGCAUGUCACAGGUUCCAGUAAAACAGGAGUGAGGUCUCCCACUAGAUGAACUGCAGUGACCUAUAAGCAGCAGCUGAGAAACUGCAGCUGCAUUCAGUCCUCAAGCAUGGGCCUGCUGAGGCUGUGGGAAGGGACUCUUGCUUUCACACUGCUGGUGUAGACGACCCGGAAAAGCAGUUUCUAGGCCUCAUGCCUCUGAAGGCUCCCAGAAAACCCCUGAACCUCAUGGCCGGUUUGGCAAGGCAGGGGGCCCUCCUCGUGGCUCCCGGGACUUACGAAGGGUGUGAGAAAGGAAGAGGACAGGAGGGGAUGGACGGAGCCCCAGCCGACUAGGUUGAAGCACACCCUCUUGCCAGCACUUUCCUGUGUGUCAAGCUGUGGAAGCCCAUACCGAAUAAACACCAAGGUCUUACAAGACUGAAUGCUCUUCCCACGCCUUGCAUCUGAAGGCAGAUGUGAAAGCGAGUGUUCUCUCUGGGGAGAGGAAGGAGCAAGAGUCUAUGUAAACACACCAUGUGCUCUGUCCUGCUGCAGGGGUGAGGCUGCUGGGCCUACAGGAAGGAGUCCUGGGUCCUGGACUCCACAGUCCUGUCCAGUCGAAGUGGCAUGUGUGCCCUGGUCCUAGUAGGGAGGCCCAGUGAGGCCACAAGGCCACUCUCCAGGAGCCCACACCCUCCCAAAGAAUGCUACCUGAGCCAUGGUAGUCCACACUGGCCACCUCAUGCCCAGGCUGUGUGCUCCCUCAGCCAUCAUCCUCCCCACACACUUCAUCUACCACUGUGCUCUGAUCAAGGCAGGGACCUGCCACCUCCCGCAUCACCUGCACAGUCCAGCACCCUGGGGGCACGGACAGAUGCUCAGCUGACCUGAACAGAGCCAGCCCCUGCUGGACCAUGAAAUGUCUCAGCCUGGCAGAGUCUGUCUGCAGCCCCCUGCAUCUGGGCCAGCCCUCCUCUUGUGGGGGAAGACAGAGACCAGCAAGGCCAGUGUCUCCGGGUGUCACCACGGGGCAUCUCUGACCAUCUUCCCAGUCGCUCGGGCCAGCAGCUGAUGAAGGAGGUUCUCAAAGAAUGAUGGUCAGCCUGGCAUCCUUCUCCUCCCUCUCUUCCUGGGCCCUGCCUGGCCCAUGCUCCUGGGGCAGGAUCAGCCUCCUGAUUAUUUGUCAAAAGGAUUAAGACUUGGAGCCGUUCCCAUCUGAGGCAAAGACAAAUCAUUUUUCUUCCCACUGCCAUAAAGAGGAGAUAUCUUAGGGUCAGCCUCUUCAGAACUGGGUGAACGUGAGCCUUUCCAAAAAAUAUAUUUUUUUUAAAAAGAAUUAUUUUGUAAAUGGGGGAUAUUUUUGUGAAGAUGGCUCUAGCUAAGCAAGCAAUAGCCUGGGGUCAAAGGUCAUCUUGUCCAUUUUCCCCUUUCCAGGAGCCUCCAAUCACUUUUCCUGUGUCCCCUCCCUGGCUGCUCCCUCCAGCACCCCAUUCCUGGAGGUCGGGGAAUACCAGCAGAGAAGAGCUGGCUGCAGGGAAGGAUGUGGGCCGUGUGGGUGGCAAGCACAACAGGUCCACAUUUUCACUUCCAUGUUCCUGAAAAUGGCUCCCUAUAAAAAUCUCAACAUAUGCAAUAAACACCUGAACAUGGCCAUUGCUGUCUACUGGAAGGACCCACCUCUGGCCCGUGCCUCGUUCCCCAUCAAAUGGGAGGAAACAGACGGUGCAGGUGCACUCCCAGGCCCUGGCACCUCCUGGCAAGUGCCUUCACCUCCCUGGGACAGUAACGGAACCACCCAGGAAGGCUGCUGGGAGGACUAAGGGCAAAAGAGCCUAUAAAGGCAGCCCUGGUGCACAGCCACCCCUCGAGACAGGUCUCCUGAGUCCACACCAUCAUUGCCAGUCUUCCGUAGUGGACCCCGUGACGGGCAGGGAACAUGUCUUUCUUCUCUUUGUAUCCCCGUGACUGACCUAAUGUCAACAAAUCUGCUGAAUAACAGAAGGAGGUUGAGCCAUAGGGACUCACUGAGGCCUCUGGAGAGUUGUGGGCAUUCCCAGAUUCAGAGAAGUCCCAAGAAGACAGGCUGCAUCGCCCUGUGGAACUGUUCAUUCUUUGUGGUCCCACCAGCCCCAUCCCUCUGGCUCCUGACCAUUGUGGGAGCCUUCCAUGGUGGGGGAGGGGAUGGCGGCAGGUGUGGCGAAUGCACAAAAGGGGGAAUUAUCUCUUUAAAGGACAGUAAUUAGUAAUUCUGGCUGAUGGCUGUGCUGUGCUGUUUUAAUGAAGAGUUCUAUUUUUACAGAAAACACAUAAUUGAGUGAAAAAGCAGGCUGUUCUUUGAGUCAGGCGGCCACGCCUCUGGAAAGUCUAACUCCUGGGCCAGGAGGCCAGAGCCUGUACAUUGCACCAGGGAUACACAGGAAUUGGGCCCCACCUUACAUGCCCCAGGUCCGACUCAGUGCUGAAAAGCAGGGUCCCAGCCUGAUGAUUCGAGUCAAACCCUGGUUUCCCUUUUUCUAGCCAUGUGACCACCGGGUCAAGUCACUUUAACUUCUCAGAACCUCAGUUUUGUAUCUGUAAAAUGGGAAUGGCAGCAUUUUAUACAGUAUUGUAUACCGGCCGGGGAGGGGCAGGGGGGAGGGAGGGUUGUUAUGUGGAAACAAUGCACAUUAAGGCCUAGCAGGGCGUUCUUACUUGAUAAAGCGCUCGAUCCAGGUUUGCCCUACCUGCCAUUAUUCACCCAGCCUCGAUUACGAUGACGUACAGUUUGCUUACUUCUGCCUUCAUUUGUAAAGUGAGAGUAAUACGGUUGCUCUAUCUCCUGGGGUCCCUGAGGGGAUCAGGGAGUUAAUGCAUUUAGAGUGCUUAGAGCAAUGUCUGGUGCAGAGCACGCACUGGGCGCACUGCUGUCUUGUUAUUAUCGAAGCACACGGGGUUCGAGCGUCUCAGGGUUGUUCAGCCCGCCACGCGGCUUGGGUUCUGGCCUCUGCUCUGCCCUGUACCAGCUGUCUGACCCUGAGAUAUCAUCUAGCUUUCCCAUUAGCUUCUUCAUCUUUUCAAGUAGGAGGGCUGCAAAGAGCAAAAAGUAAACACACCCAAACAACAAAACAGGGUAAGUGGAAUGAGGGCUGUAAGACGCCAACAUCCCUGUGGGUUCCCUCCUUCCCUCCAGAGUAACAAACAAAAUGAUUCCUGUGGUCUACCCGUCGGAGGGUCUACUGCGGUGUGUGGGUGCCCAGCUGUGGGUCCCCCACAGGGAGGAGGGGGAGGCAGGGUGCAGGCCACAGUCUGCUCUGAAGGUGCUUCCAUCACCACGGGGAAGCUCAAACUGUAUAUCCCAGGCAAUCAGGGAACAAACUAGAAGAGAAUCCAGUACUCAAUGGAGUGGUUCAGUUUUGACCAACAGGAGUGAGGGGUGGGGGGCUUUCAGGGUAGCUAGAGAGGAAGGCUGGCCCAGCAGGGAUGAGGACUUGAAAGUGGGGCAGGUUGCCCGGCUGACUAGGCACAGAGGCCCCACCCACGGAUGGGAAGGGACAGGGGAAGGGAAGAAGCAGGCCCUCUGGUAGGAGUUGGCUCACCCCCUUGCCCUCAUUCAGGCUGUGGGGUCACCAGGCUCCAGCACCUGGCUCUAACCAGUGGCCCAGGAAGCCAGGCAGGUCCUGGGCAACACAGGUCACAUACACUCUACCAAAUUCCAUGCCUCUGAGAGACUCCACCAGGGAAAUUAACUGGUUAAACUCACACACAUGCUCUUUGAGGGUGUUAUCUUAAAGUGACUCUAAGAGGAGUGACCUCCCUGAAAGGCCAUAGUGAAGCCCAGCUUUCUUCCCUUCCCAGAGACUUACCCCAAACAUGGAAGGGACCCUGAUGACAGCUCUUAGCUGUAAAAACCAAUGAUUUUACCUUGGGUCUGGAGGAUUAAAUGACCCAUGUACCCUAAUCUUUUAAGGCUCACACUGAUCCCUCACCUCUUAAUGAAUUCAUUCAAAGUGAACCGAUUUUGGGGCACUUGGGUGGCUCAGUUGGACAAACAUCAUCUGACUCUUGAUUUUGGCUCAGGUCAUAAUCCCAGGGUUGUGGGGCUGAGCCCAGUGUUGGGCUCCGAGCUGAGCAUGGACCCUGCUUAAGACUCUCUCUCCUACUCUCCGCCAUGCCCCGCACCCCCUCCCUUGCCCAACCUACCUCCCUGAUAGCCAGCAAGCUUCUGAUUCCUGAAAUCAGCUCCUCCUUGCUUCAAAAGUCCUGCCCCUGCCUGGAGAAUAGCCUCAGGGCAUUUCUGAGAGGGUUACCUAAACUCUCUGAGGGCUGGCUGCAUGGCAAGGCCUUCUUUUUUUUUUUUUUUCCUGUUUAUUUUCUUAUUUUGAGAGAGAGGGAGAGAGAAAGGGAGAGACAGAAUCCCAAGCAGGCUCCUCGCUGUCAGCACAGAGCCUGAUGUGGGGAUUGAUCCCAUGAACAGUGAGAUCAUGACCUGAGCUGAAAUCAAGAAGAACACUUAACCGACUGAGCCACCCAAGUGCCCCAUGGCAAGGCCUUCUUAUCUGUGCAGACCCAAGGCUGACCCGGCAGGCCUCCAGGCCCUGCUUCCCUCAGCUACUGCUCCCUCCAGUUAUCUCCAGAUGACUCUACAAACACAAAUGCGUGAUCUUGAAAGAUAAGAACACAAACCUUGCAGAGCCUUUCCAUAACCAUUCAGGAGUGGAAGCACAUCCAGAAAGAAGGUCCCUAGGUGGAACAAAGGUAGGCUCCCAACCUAGUAUAAGACACCAAGAGGCAAACACCUUCAUCUUAGUCUAUAAUCUCAGCCCACUGAGCACACACUUGGGAACCUACGACCACCCACUGUAGCAGGGAGGCCAGCCCUGCCUCAAGGGCAAGAAUGCCCUCUCUCCCAGAGGCAGAAAGGCUUUCUCUUGGGGCUCGGCCACAGUGCCUAUCUCCAGUAAAUGUUGUAAGCCAGGAGAUCAGGGAGUGAGGAUCAGGAAACCAAGGGCUAAAAUCACUUCAACAAGUAAAGAAUUCCUUUCGGAAAAAACUGCAAAUAAUACCUUCCUUUCCUUUCUCUCUACCCCAAACAAACAAAAUAACCUGGGUCAUCUACCCGCCUGUCUGAGCACAAGCAGACUGCCAUGGGGAGACUGAGGACUCUGUCUGACUACAGUGUCACACAGAGCAAGAUCACAGGAGGCUCCACAGAACAACCAGUGAAGGGAAAUGCUGAAUGUCAAACCAGCUUAGCUGAUGAGGAACUGACCUUUGGAGAAGAAAGUGCUGGUGCCAGUGAUUACGCCUGGCUUAACACUUCCCUCAGCCACAUGGCCUGCAAGUUUAACCCCUGGCUCUUGUCCUCACUGGGGGCUGUGGCGGCCAAAAAUGUUUAAUGAAUCCAGCAAAGUGAUAAACUAUGUUUGUGUUAAUACCUUUGAUUCCAGCCCCCUCGCUGGAGUGUUGGUAUUUUAAGUGUCUUUUUGAUCUACUACAAGUCCCUAGUAAGAGCCAUCCAAUAAACACACUGGGUUUAAGUCAGAAAUGUUAAGACAGGCCCGGGACUCUGAUCCUUCUGCCUGGUGGAAUGCACGGCUAGAAACAUAUCCCAUGCAACCUGAGAAAAAGGUGAGGCAGGCCAGGUAGCUCAGAGAAGUGCCCUUGAGGCCAUAGUUCACCUUAACUACAAUCAGCCAACAUCUGGCCCCAGCUCAUGCCUAGUUAUCAGCUCAAACAUUUUCCAAAACAGCCAAGGUUUCCUGGGGGAGAUGGCCGUGCCUAUAGUUUGUUUAUACAUGACAAGCUCCAGCUUGUUGAGAGGGCCAUAUUAUUCCUGCACCGGGGGAGUGCAUCCGGACUCCGAUACACCUUCCCCUAGGAUCUUCCAAGUCCCCCAGAUUCUGGGCUGGGCCAGGCAGAAACUCCCAAAAGGGCCUAGCCUGACCCUGCACCCACCAGUCCACCCACAGUCUGGGCUUUCAAAACCGGUCUGGCAGGCUGCCAGACAUGGGGUGGGGGCAGUGACUGACAGGCUGGUUAUUGGAAAGCUCCCAUCAUUAGCCUAGGAAUUUUGUUUGGUUACCAUGGUGACCCUCACUACAAGUGCACUGACUAAAGCACAAGGAAUCUGUUACCUAAAACCAGUGCCCAUGGAGCCCCAGCUUCAGGAACCAUGCUUAUCAGUGGUCCGUUCCCCUUGACCCCAUAUUCCUGCCCCUCCCCAGCAGAGCCUCCCAGCUGCCUCCCCUAGCCUGGAUGAGGAGGAAGGACUAGCACAGGCAGCCUCCAGCUCACACAGGACAGAGACCGCUCACAUUCCACCGCCUGGCUGGCUUGGAACCCAGGUCCAAAUAGGGAGUUUGCUGCCCCCCUGAGGCCCCCUGCAGGCUGGCCAGGGACGGCCCGACCAGCACAUGUGUCCAGGGCUUAGUCAGAAGCCCUCAGGAUUUCAGGAAGCUGCUCAGGGUGUCUGGUUGCCCCCGUGCCAGGUUCACACUGUCCCCGCGGGGCCAUCAGUCUCUGCCUCAUCACGUUUCUGCCUUUUAAACCCGAGCUCCAUUAACUAAAGGUCAUCCCACAGCACAGAAAUCAAGAUCCUCUUUGCUUUUGCUUUCUAAUCCCUGAAUUUAGGGGGAUUUUCAGAAGUUCAGCUCCAUGAGGGCUGGGUUUUUCUCCAGGAGUCUUAAGACUGCCUGUAGGAAGGGUAGCAUCCGUUGCAGCUAAGGAACUUCGACACCUUCCUGCCUCGGCCUGCGCCUCCCUGCCCUCCUGCUAACGGUUCCCUCCUCCAGCUCCAGGCCCAUCACACACCCUACCCUCAGCUGCCACAUUGCUGUCUUACACUGUUGGUGCACUACCUUCCAGAAUGCCCCACAUUGCUGCCCUUGAGCAUGCUUCUAAACCAACUGUGAGACCUUCUCUUGCCCGAGUCUCACAACAGACCUUGGAGGCAGAGGGAGGCAGGACAGAUGUCUUUGGCAGAUGAGGAAGCUGCUGGAAGUGGCACAGGUUAAGAGCAUGACCCAGUGAGGGCAGGAACCUAACUGUGGCCCUCACGUGGGGACAAGCUCACAUGGGAAGGGUUCCAUCCCACCCACUGCCAUGUCCCCUGUGCCAUACCUCCUCUAUACUUGACAUGUGCCUGCCAGCCUCUUCCUUCAUGAAGACAGCCUCUGGGAGCCAAUGCACAGGCAGGUUCUACAGAAAAGAGCCUCUGAGAGGCCUCAGCCACUUAGGAGCACACUGUGGGGAGCUCUUAGGGUGGCAUACACACCUCACUGGGGGCACUGAGGUCAGGGUGAAGGGGGUUUGAUCUUUUUGUUUGACUGCAAUGAUAUUUACUGGACCGGCUGUUGAAUUCUCUGCCAUGGCAACAGCUGGAGCCACACACAGCUUGUUCCCAGCACAGGGAGCAGCUGGGGGACCAGGAUGCAGUUUUAACUGAAAGAGCAAUGACAUUUGUCAGUGAUCCCUGGCCGGUAAUGGACUCAAUGACAUUUCCUGCUAAUCCAUGGGUUUUUGUGCUCUGUGGUUUCAUCUGUGGGGAAUAGUAUUGCCUUAUUUGCAAAAAGCCACGGUCAUGCUCUAUGGCCACCCCACAGAGCUACAUGGUAGGUGGAUUUUCCACACCCACUCCCAACUUCUUAUAUAUGUAUUUUUUUUUAAAGGUUGAUUUUUUUUUUUUCUUAAUUUUAAAUAACAGAAAUGCACUGUCUCACAGUUCGGAAGGCCAGACGUGGCCUGUAGAUAUUUUUUAGUUUUGCAGCCUUUUAGGGCUGGCUCUGAUCAAGACAGAGAUCCUCAUGGCCAUGGAGGUGAGGGGCUCACGGUGGCUUAGAGAUAAAGAAUCUGCCACUGCUUCUCUAUCCCCACUGUUCCCAGUGGACACGCUUUGCACAGUGAGGCAUCACAGAGAAUGGGAUGCUCUGGUCCCCAGGCCUCUCUGCAGUGACACAAAAUGGAAGAACCCUAGGGAUGGGACUCAAACACUUCCCCUUCUUGGGCUUGGACUUCAAAGAUGCCUCCCUGCUGCCAGCCCCAUGGCCCAAGCUCCCAAGGCCCCAGCAGUGACCCCGUGGAGUCUAGUCUAGAUGGGACAGCUGUGUUCUCAUGCAGAGGCUGUCCCUUCAGAAGGCUCCUGCCUGAAGAAAUAGGGGCACAGUUGACACAAAGGGGCACAAUUAUCCUACAAGUUGACCAAGAGCCCAGUCUGCACUGGGGAAGCGCUUGCCAUCUUUUUUGCGUUUAGGGUCCCUUGGAGAAUCUGCUGAAAGUCAUCUCCCUGGAUACACACACAUAGGCACAAAUGUUAUGGUUUGGUUCUAGGCAUUCCUGGAGGCCCCAAAGCCCACCCACACCUCCUAAGGAGGAGUCACCAACCUCAGCAAGGACCACCUCCCCCACCACCCAUGAAGGUCCUUGCAGUGAGUGAAGCGUUUCCAGGUGAAGGAGUGUGCACCUGAGGGGGCAGGAAGGGGCGGAAAGCGUGCUUGAGGGGAAGGGGACACACACUGCCCACACAGUAGGGAAAGGCUGCCGAGAAGGGGGCUUCCUCACCAGGCCCCGGAGCCCAGGAGGCAGGAGGCACCUCCCCUGUAGUGGGUCAGGAUGCUGAGGCAGAACCAGAGGGCUCACCCCCCCAACACAGUGGGAAGUGCCAUUAGCCUCCCCACUUCAGGCCAAGGGAUGAGAUUCUGGCAGCAGAAAGAAUUCAGCCCAGAAGUUAGGAGGAGACACUGCGGUGAGAUGUCAGGCGCUGGAGUGGGUUGAGGGGAGAGCUCCCUGCAGGGACUGGGGGUCCGAGGAAGGGCCAGAUGCAUGGCAUGACAGUCCCCUGCCCUGCUUCCAUCAGGACAGCUCUGCUCCCCUCUGUUCCCACACCAUCUCAACUAACAUGUAAGAUUUCACUUGGGAAAAGGAGUUGCUGAUAAAACCAUGUGUGACACCAG
Molecule: long non-coding RNA, 25033 nt
Organism: Felis catus (domestic cat)
Lineage: Eukaryota; Metazoa; Chordata; Mammalia; Carnivora; Felidae
Exons: 4
Source: RefSeq, a predicted model, not a curated record